This 775-nucleotide ribosomal RNA is filed under the name uncultured Neocallimastigales. Its description in RNAcentral is "partial large subunit ribosomal RNA". It matches the Rfam family "Eukaryotic large subunit ribosomal RNA", at positions 18 to 605 of the family's 3401-position model. Lineage: Eukaryota; Fungi; Neocallimastigomycota; Neocallimastigomycetes; Neocallimastigales. The record is from RNAcentral.
UCAGACGAUGCGUCAUGCAUAUCAAUAAGUGGAGGAAAAGAAACUAACAAGGAUUCCCUUAGUAACGGCGAGUGAAGCGGGUAGAGCUCAAAUUUGAAAUCUUCAAGGUUUUACCUUGACGAAUUGUAGUUUAAAGAAGUGUUUUCUGCUGAAGUUUUGGUAAAAGUUCUUUGGAAUAGGACAUCAUAGAGGGUGAGAAUCCCGUAUUUGACCAUUAUUUUCAGCUUUGUGAUACACUUUCAAAGAGUCGGAUUGUUUGGGAAUGCAGUCCAAAAUGGGUGGUAAAUUUCAUCUAAAGCUAAAUAUUGGCGAGAGACCGAUAGCGAACAAGUACCGUGAGGGAAAGAUGAAAAGAACUUUGAAAAGAGAGUUAAACAGUACGUGAAAUUGUCAAAAGGGAAGCGUUUGACACCAGUGUUGUUUUCUCGAAAAUCAAUUAAAAAUGGCUCGAUUUUGUAUUGCUUGAGACCUUAAAAGCUCACUGUACAUUUUUCGUGUCUUUUUUAAUGCACUUUUCGUUUAACAAGUCAACAUCAGUUUCUUUUGUUGUAAAAGGGUCAUUGGAAGGUGGCUUUCUUUUCGGAGAAAGUGUUUAUAGCCUUUGGCCUCUGCAAUCGAAGAGACUGAGGUCUGCAGCGUAGACUCUUCGGGGUUAGAUACAUUUGUGCUAAGUUAUAGCUUUUUAUAGACAACUUGUUGACUAUAACUAGUCUUGUAGCUUACUCGCUUAUGCUAUUUUACCUACGCUUAGGAUGUUGACGAUCAGCUGAGCGCG